Molecule: ribosomal RNA, 444 nt
Filed under: uncultured bacterium
Lineage: Bacteria
Description: bacterial SSU rRNA
Rfam family: Bacterial small subunit ribosomal RNA
Source: RNAcentral
AACGCGAAGAACCUUACCUGGGCUUGAAGUGCUGGUGGUAAGUCCUUGGAAACAGGGGCUGACCCGCAAGGGAGCCAGCAGAGGUGCUGCAUGGUUGUCGUCAGCUCGUGUCGUGAGAUGUUGGGUUAAGUCCCGCAACGAGCGCAACCCCUAUCUCAUGUUGCUACCUGCGCAAGCAGGGCACUCUUGAGAAACUGCCUUCGAUAAGAAGGAGGAAGGUGGGGACGACGUCAAAUCCUCAUGGCCCUUAUGUCCAGGGCUACACACGUGCUACAAUGGCCGGUACAACGGGAAGCAAUACCGUAAGGUGGAGCCAAACCCUGAAAGCCGGCCCCAGUUCAGAUUGUGGGCUGCAACUCGCCCACAUGAAGGCGGAAUCGCUAGUAAUCGCGAAUCAGCAGGUCGCGGUGAAUACGUUCCCGGGCCUUGUACACACCGAGUAUA